AACGAACGCUGGCGGCAGGCUUAACACAUGCAAGUCGAACGCCCCGCAAGGGGAGUGGCAGACGGGUGAGUAACGCGUGGGAAUCUACCCAUCUCUGCGGAAUAGCUCUGGGAGACUGGAAUUAAUACCGCAUACGCCCUACGGGGGAAAGAUUUAUCGGGGAUGGAUGAGCCCGCGUUGGAUUAGCUAGUUGGUGGGGUAAAGGCCUACCAAGGCGACGAUCCAUAGCUGGUCUGAGAGGAUGAUCAGCCACAUUGGGACUGAGACACGGCCCAAACUCCUACGGGAGGAAGCAGUGGGGAAGAUUGGAGAAUGGGCGCAAGCCUGAUCCAGCCAUGCCGCGUGAGUGAUGAAGGCCUUAGGGUUGUAAAGCUCUUUCACCGAUGAAGAUAAUGACGGUAGUCGGAGAAGAAGCCCCGGCUAACUUCGUGCCAGCCGCCGCAGUAA
This 447-nucleotide ribosomal RNA is filed under the name uncultured bacterium. RNAcentral's name for it is "partial 16S ribosomal RNA". It matches the Rfam family "Bacterial small subunit ribosomal RNA", at positions 29 to 523 of the family's 1533-position model. The record is from RNAcentral.